Molecule: long non-coding RNA, 600 nt
Organism: Magnolia sinica
Lineage: Eukaryota; Viridiplantae; Streptophyta; Magnoliopsida; Magnoliales; Magnoliaceae
Exons: 2
Source: RefSeq, a predicted model, not a curated record
AAAUAAAAAUAAAUAAUCAUGCCAAUCUAAAACUUGGGUGGACCUCGACACAAAUCAGUGGUAGGUCCCCACUCUAUAUACAUACAUGUGUUUCACCAUACUUACACCUUUUACACCGGGGGGUUGAAUUUCUUCUUAUGUUUAUAUUACCAUAACAAAACUUACUGGAUCCCAAACAUCACAAGAAAUUAUUUUCACAAUAAAAAUAUCAUGGAAUCCAUGUCUUGCAUCCAAAAGCCACAAUAUCUCCUUAUGUUGGUGCAGUUUCUGUGCACCUUAAUCAUUUUCUCUUGAAGGUCAAAGGAGAUGGGAGAUGUUAUAUAUCUACUAUAUACACGGAGAAUUGGGUAAAUUCACCUGGGCAACAGGAAGACAAUUCAUGGCAGGCUUUUGUGUUUGUACCGAAAGAUAACUGGUAUAUUGCAAAGGCAAGUUCCAUGCCCUUAAAGUUCUCAUUUUCGUACUUGGGAACUAUUAGGUGAUCUCAAGUUAAUUGGAAACUAACAUCUUUGUAUUACAAGUUCAACUUGAAAACUAACAUAAUUGGAUUUUGGUGUUGCCUUCAUUGUAGAACCAAGGAAGUUAUUUGCAAUUUUGUCA